RNAcentral lists this ribosomal RNA (350 nucleotides) under uncultured microorganism. Its description in RNAcentral is "bacterial SSU rRNA". It matches the Rfam family "Bacterial small subunit ribosomal RNA", at positions 9 to 355 of the family's 1533-position model. The record is from RNAcentral.
GAGUUUGAUCUUGGCUCAGAUUGAACGCUGGCGGCAUGCCUUACACAUGCAAGUCGAACGGCAGCAUGAUCUAGCUUGCUAGAUUGAUGGCGAGUGGCGAACGGGUGAGUAAUACAUCGGAACGUGCCCUGUAGUGGGGAUAACUAGUCGAAAGAUUAGCUAAUACCGCAUACGACCUGAGGGUGAAAGUGGGGGACCGCAAGGCCUCAUGCUAUAGGAGCGGCCGAUGUCUGAUUAGCUAGUUGGUGGGGUAAAGGCCCACCAAGGCGACGAUCAGUAGCUGGUCUGAGAGGACGAUCAGCCACACUGGGACUGAGACACGGCCCAGACGUCCUACGGGAGGCAGCAGU